AUCAUCUGCCCUGUGCUGAUUCUUGGGAUUUUUGAGCUUGUUAUUGUUGUGAUUUUACUUUAUAGUGUUAUGAUGCUAUUAUGGUUUUUGGGACUUGAUAUUGUUGAGAUAUAACUCUGAACUUUGGAGUGAUUUAGCUAUGAUUUUUGCUCUGAUUUUGGGGAUUAAUUCUGUCAUUUUGUUGGACUAACUUAGCCCUGAUUUCGCAUUGUGAGUUCAGGACCACCAAGACGGGUAUUUCAACAUUUGCUCGCUGUUGAGAACACUAUGAUUGCCUAGCUGAACCAAAUAUGGUUUAUUCAUGGGAGCUCUUGACAAAAGGGGACAAAUGACAGCUCCGCUAGUUACUUGCUCGGGUCAUAAGCUCAACUUUUGGGGAAUGUUAUAGCGUUAAAAGAGGGUUGCUGAACACACUCACAAAAAAGACUAACCAUGACAUGGGUUUUUGGGUUAAAGACAUUAUUGAAUUCGUGGUUUCAUAUCAUAUGCACUGACAAAUAAUUAUUGUUUGUCCAUUAUACUUUCUCUUUGAGAAUCGUGAUUUCAGGAUUGUGAAUUCCCACCAUUGGGACACAAAUAUUCUAACUUAUGUGUCAUUUUUGGGGAUUCUCACAACUUUUAUUCGGUGGAACAAAUGUUUAGGGCGGCACUGUUGCUUGGGAAAAGCAAAGCGUACACUUUUUUACUUGUUAAUUGAUUUACAUCCCUAUCUCUAAG
RNAcentral lists this long non-coding RNA (717 nucleotides) under Salvia miltiorrhiza (redroot sage). RNAcentral describes it as "long non-coding RNA (SMIL_LNC003484)". The record is from RNAcentral. Lineage: Eukaryota; Viridiplantae; Streptophyta; Magnoliopsida; Lamiales; Lamiaceae.